GCAAGACCAAAGUGGGGGACCUUCGGGCCUCAUGCCAUCAGAUGUGCCCAGAUGGGAUUAGCUAGUAGGUGGGGUAACGGCUCACCUAGGCGACGAUCCCUAGCUGGUCUGAGAGGAUGACCAGCCACACUGGAACUGAGACACGGUCCAGACUCCUACGGGAGGCAGCAGUGGGGAAUAUUGCACAAUGGGCGCAAGCCUGAUGCAGCCAUGCCGCGUGUGUGAAGAAGGCCUUCGGGUUGUAAAGCACUUUCAGCGGGGAGGAAGGCG
RNAcentral lists this ribosomal RNA (270 nucleotides) under Klebsiella pneumoniae. RNAcentral's name for it is "partial 16S ribosomal RNA". It matches the Rfam family "Bacterial small subunit ribosomal RNA", at positions 195 to 453 of the family's 1533-position model. The record is from RNAcentral. Lineage: Bacteria; Pseudomonadati; Pseudomonadota; Gammaproteobacteria; Enterobacterales; Enterobacteriaceae.